Molecule: ribosomal RNA, 449 nt
Filed under: uncultured bacterium
Lineage: Bacteria
Description: bacterial SSU rRNA
Rfam family: Bacterial small subunit ribosomal RNA
Source: RNAcentral
UCGGGGAAUUUUGGGCAAUGGGGGAAACCCUGACCCAGCAACGCCGCGUGAAGGAUGAAGUAUUUCGGUAUGUAAACUUCGAAAGAAUAGGAAGAAUAAAUGACGGUACUAUUUAUAAGGUCCGGCUAACUACGUGCCAGCAGCCGCGGUAAUACGUAGGGACCAAGCGUUGUUCGGAUUUACUGGGGCGUAAAGGGUGCGUAGGCGGCAUAUCAAGUCACUUGUGAAAUCUCCGGGCUUAACUCGGAACUGCCAAGUGAUACUGAUGUGCUAGAGUGCAGAAAGGGCAACUGGAAUUCUUGGUGUAGCGGUGAAAUGCGUAGAUAUCAAGAGGAACACCUGAGGCGAAGGCGAGUUGCUAGGCUGACACUGACGCUGAGGUACGAAAGCUAGGGGAGCGAACGGGAUUAGAUACCCACGUAGUCCCUGAGCGGGCUGGCAAGGCGCAU